Molecule: long non-coding RNA, 1018 nt
Organism: Hypomesus transpacificus
Lineage: Eukaryota; Metazoa; Chordata; Actinopteri; Osmeriformes; Osmeridae
Exons: 3
Source: RefSeq, a predicted model, not a curated record
GGUUUCUCUUCCUCAGCGCGAAGAUGUCAUACACAGCAGUAUUCUUUUCAAACAUUGUGGUGGUAUCUCUGAAGAAAUAAAAAUUGGAGCCUAAAUCUGAUGACCUGGAUAAGCAGCUGUCUUCUCCAAGCAGGGGGACAAGAGGAGUCUAAACAAAAGAUAACAACAUGGCAUAGCCAUAGAGACCUCAUGGGAAGGAUGCCCCCACCUAAGGAAAACCAAGAGCCAACCUCAUCAUCAAGGAUUGAUCACCCCCUCGGAGGGGAGGAGUUUUUACUUCUCUCCCCUGCACAUACUUUCACCCACCAUACUCCAUCCAGGUCCCCCUCCCCUCUAUUUUCCCCCUCAUCCCCUCCACCAUGAGUUCACUGACAACAUGAAAGAGCUGGUCACAGCUAGAACCAAAUUCACUCCCCGCCGCACUACUAUUUUCACUCCAGCUCAACCUCUGCCACUGGCUCUAAGUCCUCAGCCAGUUGCCCCCCCUCCCGCCUCCACGACGGCUCCACAACCAUCCUAUCAUGAAUUGAUUUCUUUUGGGUCCAGACUACAAGGCUAAUGACACCACUGAUUCUCACCAGGAACAGUUUUGGCCCUGUAUGAAGCUAGCCUACACAAUUCCUGUCCUGAUUUAUAGAAAAGGAAAUAAUAGGCAGCGAAGAAACAUGAGUAAAUCUGCACAUUUAUCAAAUUUUACAUGCAUUCCUCGCCAGCCUGUCCAAACUAAUCGGACACAGAGCUUUAAACACAUAAAAAAAUAGCUUUAUUAAAUGUCAGGUCUCUGUCAGGAAAAACCUUUUUAAUCAACGAUUGUAUUGUUAGGCAAAAACUUGAUUUUCUGUUUUUUACUGAAACUUGGUUAGACCAAGAUAAUAGUGCAGCUGCUCUUAUUGAAUAAACACCUCCCAACUUCAGUUUCAUGAACUGAAACAAGAGUGCAUAAGAAAGGCGGUGGAGUUGCAAUUUAUUUAAUGAUUCUCUUCAAUGCAAGCAAUGUCUUUUGGUCCUUUUACUUCCU